This 496-nucleotide ribosomal RNA is filed under the name uncultured bacterium. Its description in RNAcentral is "partial 16S ribosomal RNA". It matches the Rfam family "Bacterial small subunit ribosomal RNA", at positions 29 to 507 of the family's 1533-position model. The record is from RNAcentral.
AUGAACGCUGGCGGCGUGCCUAAUCCAUGCCAGUCGCGCGAACAGACGAGGAGCUUGCUCCUCUGACGUUAGCGGCGGACGGGUGAGUAACACGUGGAUAACCUACCUAUAAGACUGGGAUAACUUCGGGAAACCGGAGCUAAUACCGGAUAAUAUAUUGAACCGCAUGGUUCAAUAGUGAAAGACGGUUUUGCUGUCACUUAUAGAUGGAUCCGCGCCGCAUUAGCUAGUUGGUAAGGUAACGGCUUACCAAGGCAACGAUGCGUAGCCGACCUGAGAGGGUGAUCGGCCACACUGGAACUGAGACACGGUCCAGACUCCUACGGGAGGCAGCAGUAGGGAAUCUUCCGCAAUGGGCGAAAGCCUGACGGAGCAACGCCGCGUGAGUGAUGAAGGUCUUCGGAUCGUAAAACUCCGUUAUUAGGGAAGAACAAAUGUGUAAGUAACUAUGCACGUCUUGACGGUACCUAAUCAGAAAGCCACGGCUAACUACGUG